UCACAAUCGUCGCAGGAUACCAUGUUG
Molecule: non-coding RNA, 27 nt
Filed under: Aedes albopictus (Asian tiger mosquito)
Lineage: Eukaryota; Metazoa; Arthropoda; Insecta; Diptera; Culicidae
Source: RNAcentral